GACGAACGCUGGCGGCGUGCUUAACACAUGCAAGUCGAACGGAAAGGCCCUGCUUUUGUGGGGUGCUCGAGUGGCGAACGGGUGAGUAACACGUGAGUAACCUGCCCUUGACUUUGGGAUAACUUCAGGAAACUGGGGCUAAUACCGGAUAGGAGCUCCUGCUGCAUGGUGGGGGUUGGAAAGUUUCGGCGGUUGGGGAUGGACUCGCGGCUUAUCAGCUUGUUGGUGGGGUAGUGGCUUACCAAGGCUUUGACGGGUAGCCGGCCUGGGAGGGUGACCGGGCACGUAGGGACGGAGAUACGCCACAGGUUCCUGGGGGGGGCUGCGGUGGGGAAGAUUGAACCAGGGGAGGGGGCCGGAUGAACAAGCGGCGGUGUCGGGGGGACGGCCUGCGGGUAGUAGACCGAUGCCGCGUGGGGCGAGGGGUGAUUGACGGAAAGGGGAAACGAAGCCCCGGAGAACUACUGGCCAGCAGCGGCGGUAGUAGAGCGAAGAGAACAGGUCCAAC
RNAcentral lists this ribosomal RNA (508 nucleotides) under uncultured bacterium. RNAcentral describes it as "partial 16S ribosomal RNA". It matches the Rfam family "Bacterial small subunit ribosomal RNA", at positions 37 to 537 of the family's 1533-position model. The record is from RNAcentral.